This 494-nucleotide ribosomal RNA is filed under the name uncultured bacterium. Its description in RNAcentral is "partial 16S ribosomal RNA". It matches the Rfam family "Bacterial small subunit ribosomal RNA", at positions 28 to 507 of the family's 1533-position model. The record is from RNAcentral.
GACGAACGCUGGCGGCGUGCUUAACACAUGCAAGUCGAACGGACAGGCCUGCUUUCCCUUGUGGUUUGCGGGUACUCGAGUGGCGAACGGGUGAGUAACACGUGAGUGAUCUGCACCCAACUUGGGUAUAAGCCCGGGAAACUGGGUCUAAUUCCCGAUAGGACUGCAGGGUGGUGCCUGUGGUGGAAAACGAUUUUCUAGUUGUUGGGGAUGAGCUCGCGGCCUAUCAGCUUGUUGGUGGGGUAAUGGCCUACCAAGGCGGCGACGGGUAGCCGGCCUGAGAGGGUGGACGGCCACAUUGAGACAGAGAUACGGCCCAGACGCCUACGGGAGGCAGCAGUGGGGAAUAUUGCACAAUGGGCGGAAGCCUGAUGCGGCGACGCCGCGUGGGGGAUGACGGCCUUCGGGUUGUAAACUCCUUUCGACCGCGAGGAAGCCACCUGGUUGGAAGGGUGGUGACGGUAGUGGUAGAAGAAGCACCGGCUAACUACGUG